AGCAGUAGGUGAAUCUUCGGCAAUGGGGGGAACCCUGACCGAGCAACGCCGCGUGAGUGAAGAAGGUUUUCGGAUCGUAAAGCUCUGUUGUAAGAGAAGAACGUUGAGUAGAGUGGAAAGUUACUCAAGUGACGGUAUCUUACCAGAAAGGGACGGCUAACUACGUGCCAGCAGCCGCGGUAAUACGUAGGUCCCGAGCGUUGUCCGGAUUUAUUGGGCGUAAAGCGAGCGCAGGCGGUUUAGUAAGUCUGAAGUUAAAGGCAUUGGCUCAACCAAUGUUUGCUUUGGAGACUGUUAAACUUGAGUGCAGAAGGGGAGAGUGGAAUUCCAUGUGUAGCGGUGAAAU
RNAcentral lists this ribosomal RNA (346 nucleotides) under uncultured bacterium. RNAcentral's name for it is "bacterial SSU rRNA". It matches the Rfam family "Bacterial small subunit ribosomal RNA", at positions 350 to 687 of the family's 1533-position model. The record is from RNAcentral.